RNAcentral lists this ribosomal RNA (88 nucleotides) under Stenotrophomonas maltophilia. Lineage: Bacteria; Pseudomonadati; Pseudomonadota; Gammaproteobacteria; Lysobacterales; Lysobacteraceae. RNAcentral also lists the same sequence under 13 other names. The record is from RNAcentral.
CCCGAUCCCAUCCCGAACUCGGAAGUGAAACGCAGCUGCGCCGAUGGUAGUGUGGCUCAAGCCAUGCGAGAGUAGGUCAUCGCCAGGG